This 1119-nucleotide long non-coding RNA is filed under the name Dromaius novaehollandiae (emu). RNAcentral's name for it is "lncRNA (ENSDNVG00000011606.1)". The record is from RNAcentral. Lineage: Eukaryota; Metazoa; Chordata; Aves; Casuariiformes; Dromaiidae.
CCCCCCCCCCCCCGUAAACUCUGCGCUGGGGCCCCGGAGGGGACGAGGCUAAUAAUAUUUUAUCUGUUUCUAAAGAAAACAGUUACUGGGCUAGCUAGCAUUUAGCUUCAGAGACACGACAGAUCUUCUAAUACACCUUUUUUCCAUAAGAAGACUGCUCCUCUCAGCAGUUACGUACAUAAAUCAGGGUGGCAUAGGUUUCACCAUUACCAAGAUUCCUGGUAUCUCGUCUACAUCUUCUCUCUGAAGUGGUUCUCCUCUUUCUGCUUUCUAGGAUCCUGGGUGCACGCACAGCUGGUUUUCUGUCCACUUCGGCCUUCAGCCGCCCUCUCAGGAACUGAGCGCUCACCGUGUUUGCUCCAUUCAACAACUGCACUCUCGCUGUGGAUUAAACAGGAGUCAUUACUGUAUUUGCACUUUGAGAAGUCACUCAAACUUGAGCAAAACCUCCGAUCAGGCACUCCCCCUCUCUGUCCUGGCGAGACCUCUAGCCAGGAGGCGUCUGAAAUGCCGCCGCAGUCAAGGAGCCUCCAUGCACCCGAGAGAAAAAUUCCACGGCUGCAGCUGUUGUUCGACAAGCUUCUUUGAACACUUCUCUAAUGUCUUGCGCUGACCUCCAUCACCAUUAUUUUAUCCUGGCAUUAUCUGACUGACUUGUCAGCCAUUAUAUUAUGUCAGUUCUUCCUUGGAAAAGCUGUCCCUUCUGCAGGCAGUGCCAUACUGCAUCAUUAUUUGAGAUUUCCUUGCGCAGUAAGCUUUAGAUCAGGCAUCCCUGAAAUAUCAGAGUGCUGGGSUCUCACAGCUAGCUGCGUGCUGUACCCCUGUUUCUACGUUUGAGAAAUGCAUUCACUGGUGGUCUGUUUACAAUCCACUGAAUUUGGGUUUUAAUUUCAGAGAGUAGGAAACAAAACUGAGGUAGGGAGGUGAGAUCUUUUCGAAACCAUAAUGGACACAACCCCAGCUUUUUCKUAGGCCAGAGCAUCAUUUUUACUCUUUGAAGAAUAAGUUUUUCUUCUAGUUUUAGUAUUUACCUCAGGUCCCUGGUCUGCAGCCUUCUCUUACCAAGCCAGUUCAGUACAGUGGGUAAAGCACUAGGUUGGUGACRAGCGCUCAUCUCCA